This 86-nucleotide transfer RNA is filed under the name Staphylococcus aureus. Its description in RNAcentral is "tRNA-Leu-GAG". It matches the Rfam family "Bacterial small subunit ribosomal RNA", at positions 310 to 395 of the family's 1533-position model. The record is from RNAcentral. Lineage: Bacteria; Bacillati; Bacillota; Bacilli; Caryophanales; Staphylococcaceae.
ACACUGGAACUGAGACACGGUCCAGACUCCUACGGGAGGCAGCAGUAGGGAAUCUUCCGCAAUGGGCGAAAGCCUGACGGAGCAAC